CAAUAGCGUAUAUUAAUGUUGUUGCAGUUAAAAGCUCGUAGCCGACUCUCGGGGCGGUGUCAACGGUCCGCAGAAAUGUGAGCACUGUUGUCUCCGCCUCUUCCUUCUGGACACCAUGUCUUCUCUUAACUGAGCGGAUGUGGGGGCCAGAUCGUUCACUUUGAACAAAUUAGAGUGUUCAAAGCAGGCCUCCGCCUGAAUACUUGAGCAUGGAAUGAUAUCAAUAGGUCCUUCCUCCCCGUUUAUUGGUGAUGGGGAGGAAGGAAAUGAGAAAGGGGAAUGGUUGGGGCCAUUCGUACUGCAGCGUUAGAGGUGAAAUUCUUGGAUCGCUGAAAGAUGAGCUUAGGCGAAAGCAUUUAUCAAAGAUGUUUUCAUUAUUCAAGAACGAAAGUUAGGGGAUCGAAGACGAUCAGAUACC
Molecule: ribosomal RNA, 418 nt
Filed under: uncultured eukaryote
Lineage: Eukaryota
Description: bacterial SSU rRNA
Rfam family: Eukaryotic small subunit ribosomal RNA
Source: RNAcentral